RNAcentral lists this transfer RNA (84 nucleotides) under Cytophagaceae bacterium. Its description in RNAcentral is "tRNA-Leu". It matches the Rfam family "tRNA". From Rfam's summary of the family: Transfer RNA (tRNA) molecules are approximately 80 nucleotides in length. Their secondary structure includes four short double-helical elements and three loops (D, anti-codon, and T loops). The record is from RNAcentral. Lineage: Bacteria; Pseudomonadati; Bacteroidota; Cytophagia; Cytophagales; Cytophagaceae.
GCCCGGUUGGUGGAAUGGUAGACACGCGACGUUUAGGCCGUCGUUCUUAACAGAGUGAGAGUUCGAGUCUCUUGCCGGGUACCA